This is an RNA transcript of Gastrolobium bilobum, 2712 nucleotides long. It is a transcript of the gene named hydroxyproline O-galactosyltransferase GALT2-like, with no coding region annotated. NCBI's taxonomy places the organism in Eukaryota, Viridiplantae, Streptophyta, Magnoliopsida, Fabales, Fabaceae. The record is from RefSeq and is a predicted model, not a curated record. The transcript is spliced from 8 exons.
AGGCUUUCACAAUUCCACAUACUCAAUAAUACUACUUUCCUCUGUUUGUAUUUUCCUGGUUCCUUCUUUUUUCUUCUUCUGCAUUCAUAUCUGGGUUUUUCUCUUCCAUCAGAUCGAAGAUCGGGGUACCUUAAUCUUGGCGCCAAUUGGAUUCUUCACCCGUUUCCGUUCAUUAGGUUUCUUUGAGACGAUCGAGUUUUCGGCAUAUGUUGCCUAUCACAUGUUGAACAAUUUAGGGUUCUGCGCCUCCCAUUACAAUGGGUUUCCUCCCAACUUGUUAAAUCAUUGUGGCAUUGGUUGAUUUCUCUUUCCAUGUAUGCAAAGUUUGAUUCUUUUACAUUCUUGCCCAAAAGCCCAACUUCCAUUCUCCAAUACGUUACCGUUUCGGUUUCUUCCGAAACUUUGGACGUGGGUUUUGCUUUGAAAAUUUGAGUUUGUUGCCGUUUGCGUUCUUUUUCAGGUUGCGGGGUAGUUAUAUGGGUUUUAUGAGGGAAUUGUUGUAGAGAGUAUAUUGUAUUCUUGGCUUGUCUUUUUGAAGAUGAAGAGGCUGAAGAUUGAACCUCCCAAUUCGAGGAGGUGUAGGUUGUCCCAUUUUUUGUUUGGUGUUGGGGUGUUAUACUUGGUUUUUGUAUCUUGCAACUUUCCACAGUUUCUGAAGAUCAUGUCAACGUUAAGUGGUGAUGAAGGUUACAAUGGAUUGGAUGGGUUAGCUACUGGGGACUCUGAAGAUGCAGAUUUAAGCAAACCUUUCGUUAGUUCUGUUUAUAAAGAUGCAUUUCACCGGCGGUUAGAAGAUAAUAGGGACCAGGAUGCUCCCUUGAGGCCGGAUAAAGAACCAAUGAAGGAGGAAGAUCAUGGCCGUGAAUCUAUGAAGCAGAUUCCGAAGCGAUAUGGUAGGAUUACUGGAGAAAUCUUGAGGCAAAUGAACAGGACCAAUGAUUUCUCUGUGCUUGAGAGAAUGGCAGAUGAGGCAUGGACAUUAGGGUUAAAGGCUUGGAAAGAAAUAGACAAGGUUGAUGGCAAGGAGUCUGGAGAAAGCUCUAUGAUUGAUGGAAGGCUUGAAUCUUGUCCUUCUUGGAUAUCAAUGGGUGGGGAAGAAUUGUUGAAGGGGGAUAACUUGAUGUUUCUUCCAUGUGGACUUGCAGCAGGUUCUUCAAUCACCGUGGUGGGGACACCCCAUUAUGCUCAUAAGGAGCAUGCUCCCCAGCUUGCAAGGUUGAGGAAAGGUAAUGGGUUGGUUUCGGUUUCACAGUUCAUGGUUGAAUUACAAGGGCUUAAAUCAGUGGAUGGGGAAGAUCCUCCUAAGAUUCUUCACUUGAAUCCUCGAUUAAGAGGGGAUUGGAGCAAACGACCAGUUAUUGAGCAUAAUACCUGUUAUCGAAUGCACUGGGGAACAGCUCAAAGAUGUGAUGGUCUGCCAUCUGAGAAUGAUAAUGAAAUGCUUGUUGAUGGGUAUAGACGAUGUGAAAAAUGGAUGCGGAAUGACAUUGUAGACUCAAAAGAGUCCAAGACAACGUCAUGGUUCAAGCGGUUUAUAGGGCGUGAGCAGAAGCCAGAAGUGACCUGGCCAUUUCCUUUUGUAGAGGGUAGAAUGUUUGUCCUUACACUACGAGCUGGUGUUGAUGGAUACCAUAUUAAUGUUGGGGGUCGCCAUAUAACUUCAUUUCCAUAUCGGACAGGUUUUACACUCGAAGAUGCUACAGGAUUAGCAGUUAAAGGAGACGUUGAUGUUCAUUCAAUUUUUGCUACCUCUCUCCCUACUUCACAUCCAAGUUUCUCACCUCAGAGAGUACUGGAAAUGUCUGAGACAUGGAAAUCCAGUGCUCUACCUAAACAUGCUGUUAGACUCUUUAUUGGAGUUCUUUCUGCUUCAAAUCACUUUGCAGAACGUAUGGCAGUUCGAAAAACAUGGAUGCAAGCAGCUGCAAUCAAAUCUUCGAAUGUAGUAGUACGAUUCUUUGUUGCAUUGAAUCCAAGGAAAGAAGUAAACGCAGUGCUGAGGAAGGAGGCUGCUUACUUUGGUGAUAUUAUCAUUUUGCCCUUUAUGGACCGCUAUGAGCUUGUUGUGCUUAAAACCAUGGCUAUCUGUGAGUUUGGGAUUCAGAAUGUGACUGCUGCAUAUGUCAUGAAAUGUGAUGACGACACUUUUAUUAGGGUGGAUACUGUCUUGAAAGAAAUUGAAGCUGUACCUCCGGAAAAGUCCCUUUAUAUGGGCAAUCUCAAUCUCUUGCAUCGGCCUCUGAGAAAUGGCAAAUGGGCAGUUACUUAUGAGGAGUGGCCAGAGGAAGUGUAUCCCCCUUACGCAAAUGGCCCUGCCUACAUAAUUUCCAAAGAUAUUGUUAAUUUCGUCACAUCUCAACACAAGGAUAGAAAGCUGAGGCUGUUUAAGAUGGAGGAUGUAAGCAUGGGAAUGUGGGUUGAGCGAUUUAACAACACAAUGAGAGCCGUUCAAUACUCUCACAACUGGAAGUUUUGUCAGUACGGAUGCAUGGAGGACUACUUCACUGCACAUUACCAAUCACCAAGGCAAAUGGUUUGUCUAUGGGAUAAAUUGUCAAGAGGUCGAGCACGAUGCUGCAACUUCAGAUGACAAUGUUUGAUUUGUCAUUGUAUCAUUGUUGUUUUGUGCUGAUGUUAGUUCACACCUGGGUAUAUGCAUCUCUCCAUCCUGUUGCGACUUUCAAGAUUUGAACCCUCUACCCAAUUAAAGCC